Molecule: ribosomal RNA, 308 nt
Filed under: uncultured bacterium
Lineage: Bacteria
Description: bacterial SSU rRNA
Rfam family: Bacterial small subunit ribosomal RNA
Source: RNAcentral
GAGUUUGAUCGUGGCUCAGGACGAACGCUGGCGGCGUGCCUAAUACAUGCAAGUCGAGCGAGCUGAAUUCAGAGAUCCCUUCGGGGUGAUUUGUUGGACGCUAGCGGCGGAUGGGUGAGUAACACGUGGGCAAUCUGCCCUAAAGACUGGGAUACCACUUGGAAACAGGUGCUAAUACCGGAUAACAACAUGAAUCGCAUGAUUCCAAAGUUUGAAAGGCGGCGCAAAGCUGUCACUUUAGGAUGAGUCCGCGGCGCAUUAAGCUAGUGUGGGUAAAGCCUACCAAGGCAAUGAUGCGUAGCCGAGUU